This 86-nucleotide transfer RNA is filed under the name Sclerotinia sclerotiorum 1980 UF-70. It matches the Rfam family "tRNA". Rfam says of the family: Transfer RNA (tRNA) molecules are approximately 80 nucleotides in length. Their secondary structure includes four short double-helical elements and three loops (D, anti-codon, and T loops). Further hydrogen bonds mediate the characteristic L-shaped molecular structure. tRNAs have two regions of fundamental functional importance: the anti-codon, which is responsible for specific mRNA codon recognition, and the 3' end, to which the tRNAs corresponding amino acid is attached (by aminoacyl-tRNA synthetases). tRNAs cope with the degeneracy of the genetic code in two manners: having more than one tRNA (with a specific anti-codon) for a particular amino acid; and 'wobble' base-pairing, i.e. permitting non-standard base-pairing at the 3rd anti-codon position. Lineage: Eukaryota; Fungi; Ascomycota; Leotiomycetes; Helotiales; Sclerotiniaceae. The record is from Rfam by way of RNAcentral.
UCUUUGAUGGUCUAAUGGUCAUGAUUUCCGCUUGUCAUCCAUCUGGCUUUGCGCGGGAGAUCGGGGUUCGAUUCCCCGUCAGAGAG